RNAcentral lists this ribosomal RNA (274 nucleotides) under uncultured bacterium. RNAcentral describes it as "partial 16S ribosomal RNA". It matches the Rfam family "Bacterial small subunit ribosomal RNA", at positions 523 to 796 of the family's 1533-position model. The record is from RNAcentral.
AUACGGAGGGUGCAAGCGUUAUUCGGAAUCACUGGGCGUAAAGGGUGCGUAGGCGGUUUGAUAAGUCUGAUGUGAAAUCCUAUGGCUCAACCAUAGAACUGCAUUGGAAACUGUCAGACUAGAAUACUGAAGGGGCAGAUGGAAUUAGUGGUGUAGGGGUAAAAUCCGUAGAUAUCACUAGGAAUACCGAAAGCGAAAGCGAUCUGCUGGGAAGUUAUUGACGCUGAGGCACGAAAGCGUGGGGAGCAAACUGGAUUAGAAACCCUAGUAGUCC